AGGAUAAUAGUUUACUUUCUAAAACAUUUAAUUUGCAUUUAAAAAAACUAAAAUAAUUUAGUUAUCUUA
Molecule: transfer RNA, 69 nt
Filed under: Ips hauseri
Lineage: Eukaryota; Metazoa; Arthropoda; Insecta; Coleoptera; Curculionidae
Description: tRNA-Ala
Source: RNAcentral